AUUGAACGCUGGCGGCAUGCCUUACACAUGCAAGUCGAACGGUAACAGGUCUUCGGUUGCUGACGAGUGGCGAACGGGUGAGUAAUACAUCGGAACGUGCCCAGACGCGGGGGAUAACGAGGCGAAAGCUUUGCUAAUACCGCAUACGAUCUAAGGAUGAAAGCAGGGGACCGCAAGGCCUUGUGCGGUUGGAGCGGCCGAUGGCAGAUUAGGUAGUUGGUGGGAUAAAAGCUUACCAAGCCGACGAUCUGUAGCUGGUCUGAGAGGACGACCAGCCACACUGGGACUGAGACACGGCCCAGACUCCUACGGGAGGCAGCAGUGGGGAAUUUUGGACAAUGGGCGAAAGCCUGAUCCAGCAAUGCCGCGUGCAGGAUGAAGGCCUUCGGGUUGUAAACUGCUUUUGUACGGAACGAAAAGGCUCUGGCUAAUACCUGGGGGACAUGACGGUACCGUAAGAAUAAGCACCGGCUAACUACGUG
Molecule: ribosomal RNA, 482 nt
Filed under: uncultured bacterium
Lineage: Bacteria
Description: partial 16S ribosomal RNA
Rfam family: Bacterial small subunit ribosomal RNA
Source: RNAcentral